This 290-nucleotide unclassified non-coding RNA is filed under the name Hevea brasiliensis (rubber tree). Lineage: Eukaryota; Viridiplantae; Streptophyta; Magnoliopsida; Malpighiales; Euphorbiaceae. The record is from RNAcentral.
GUUUUUUUUUUUUUUUUUGGUAUUUCUAUUUUUCAGUACUGUCAGUGAGAAGUUAUUAGAACCUAAUUCACAAAUUUUCUGCAACUUCCUCUCUUUCUUUUCAUUUUCUUGAAAUAACUUAUUGCAUUUUUAUUUUUAUAAUGCUGGGUUUAUGGGUUAUAUUCAUAUGAUAUUCUUGUGUCCGUUUUACAUGCACCCAUUCUGGCAAGCAUUUUGCUUCUGUAGGAAAAUUUUCUAUUUAUUCUUUACGGCCUGAGCUGUUAGAAUUUCAUGGUUUAGUUCCUGUAGAA